Molecule: long non-coding RNA, 8477 nt
Filed under: Homo sapiens (human)
Lineage: Eukaryota; Metazoa; Chordata; Mammalia; Primates; Hominidae
Description: long non-coding RNA NONHSAT116940.2
Source: RNAcentral
CGGGGCGGCAAAACGUCCGCCCGGGCCCGAGGCGGGCGGAGGCAGCUGUGGUUACGUGCGGGGGGCCGGUGACGCAGUCGCGGGGCGCUGGGACGCGGCUUGCGGAGCCGGCCGGCGAGCGCAGGCCCCAGGCUCGGGCGCGGCGGCGGGACAGCACCUACCUUCCCGGCUUCGGGUCCGGGAGUGCGGGGCGCGGAGCCGCCGGAGCGCUGCCUCCCUCCUUCCUCCUCCCCUCGCCCCCGCCCCGCGGCGCGACACACAAUACUCGCCGGAAGCGGAAGCCGCGCCGAGGCUCGUGUCAGUGGAAGCUGGGGUGUCGGCGGGCGGCCGCGGCCGGGUCUAGCGGUGCCUGCGGAAGAAGGAGGAGGAGGGCUGGCGAUGAGAAGCAGCAGGGGGAAUCAAGGGCAAGAAGGGACCCAGAGGGGCAGGUGGCUGAGAUGCUGGCGUCCAGGUGACCCGAGGAAUCCUCUGGAGAUACAGGCCCGCGCAUGCGCGUGCUCGAGCGCUGAAGCCCAUUGCCCGCAGGGCGCUGGACUGGCGCCCCGGCCGGCGAGGCUGUCUAGUCCAGGCUCCAGGCCCCGGCUCUGGCCAGGCGCCGCCGCCUCCCGGUGCAGCUGAAAGUCGACGAAGAGGGCGGGGCGGGGGCGGCUUGUGGACUUCCACACUUUUCCUCUCUUCGGGCCAGUCUGGGGAGAGGGUGGCUAGCUGUGGCGGCGGCCAAUUACGUGGCGGACCUGCGGGGCUAAGCUGGCACGUCACUUCCGACUAGUGGAGUUUUUAGCCUUUUAACAUUCAAGGAUUAGAGCUCCCUCUUUGCCCACUAGCAGGGCAUUAGCUGGUGCUGAAGACAGUGGCUGCUUGGCGAGCCUGGAUCUCCAAGUGACCCCCUCAGCAACUCCUGAUGAACAGGACUGAAGCCAAUAUUAAAGCAAGUCAACCAAAGGUUCUCUGGUGUAGACAAGACAGCAAAAGGACAGACUACCUUGUGGAACCUAGCAUUGUUCUCCUUCUGCAGCACUAAGUAACAUUUGUUCUCCGUUAAGAUCUUUGCAAACCACACACAAGAAUUGCUGGUCAUCCUGCCAAUAGAUGCUGCUCACAGAACCAAAUUUCCUGUGCUGAAUUGUCACUCAUGGGCUUGAGAGUAGGAGACUGGAGACCAAGGUGGCUAGAAUCCAGUUGGGCCUGAUGUCUCCCUGUUGAAAGGGCUCCUUGUGGAAUGAAUAGCACAUGGCUCCUGUGGUGGAUCUGAUAGUGGCAUAGCACCAAGUGAUGCAGGCCUGCCAGGGGCCACAGACACAGAAGAUGCUCCCGGGGUCCCCCAUGUACUCCAGACACACUGCAGGCCACCUCUCCCAGCAGGUUGCCAGUCAUGGGCCCCAUCAUCAUGACUUCUGUCCAAGGUGUGCUCGGAAAUCUCUUCCUUAACUGUGACUUUCUGACAGGUGGAGGAUGUGGUCAGGAGUGGGAAAAGGAUUCGAGACGGGAAGAGGGAGGGGUUCAGGAUGAAGAGAGAUAAUCUGUGCCACAGAUGCUGGCCCUGCAGUUAGCUCCCACCUAGUCCGUGCACACACAUUCUAAUCCCCUCCCAUUCCUUUACAUGCUGCGGCCAGAGAGGCCUUUCUCAAAGUGGAAGUCUCAUCCUCACUUCUCUGGUUACAGUGCUGGGCCAUGGUAACUUACAAGGCUUAGCAGGAACUGUCUGCGCACUCCCCCUUCCUGCCCACUACCUUGUUUCCCUCCAGUUGCGAGAGAAAACAUUGAUUGAGCAUUAACUAUGUGCCAGGCUUGUCCUAAGUCCUUUGCAUGUAUUCACUCAAACAAUCCUCACAACAUUCCUAUCACAUCUCCCAUUUCACAGUGAGGGUUCUAAAGCACGUAGUGGGUGAGGAACUUGUCCAGGGUCACACAACUAAGUGGGGGUGGAGAAACAUCAAAUCUAGGUGGUCCAGGUGGUGGCCAGAACCCAUCAGCACCUCACUACAGCUGCCUCCAGUUUCUCGCUCUAGGAAAUACUCUUCCCUGUCAACUCCUGUUGUCCUCUGGGCUCAGUUGACAUGUCAUCUCCUUGAGGAGGACAUCCUGAGAUGCUCCCCGACUAGGGUGGGCACCCACUUCCACACUCCAAAUGCCUAUUUGACCUGUGUAUCGCUGCAUCCCCACUGCCUGGCAGAUAGCAGGCCCCUAAUAAAUAUGAUUUGAGCAAAUAAAUAUAGUUCUUCAAAAAAUAGGGAGGACUUCUUGCUUCAGGUAAUGGUAGGCUAGGACAUUUGGACCAACCCUCCUGCAGAAAAUAGCCAUUUAUUUUGAUGCAAUAUAUCUGGCUAUGACUAGAGAUUUCAAAUAUUUGGAGGGCUAUUAUGUGAAGAACUAAACUUACUCUUUGUGACAUAGAGGUCAGAAAUUGGUCGUUUCCAUAGAGUAUGAGAGAGACAGAAUUGUGCUCAUCAUAAGUAUCUUUUUUAAAAGUUAGACUUAAUAAAAUGGGCUGCCUUGGUAGGUGGUGAGUUCUCUGUCACGAAAGAGAUUCAGCCACUUGCUCUGAGAAAGCAUGGAGAAUAUCAACAUUGUAAGGGUCGACCACCUCAUCUCUGAGGCCCCCUCCUCACUUAGGUUGCCAUUGCAGGUGGAACACUGGGCUGAGUGUCAAAGAACCUGGGUUCCACAAACUGUGCGACCAUGGCUGGUUGUUUUGGAUCUCAUUCCUAAUAUCUGUUAGUUAAGCUGACCCGUCAAUACUGACCCACUUCACAGAGUUAUGAAGGGAUUAAAUUAGGUAUUACAUGUAAAUCUGUUUUGUUUGCUUUUUGUUGUUCUUUUUUGUUUUGCUUUUUUCUUUGCAUUAUGAAAUCCCAAGUCAACUUUUUCCAUUCUUUUAUUUUUUUAAAAAUUGACAUCAUCAUUAUAACCACAAAAUAAUUUUUAAAAUGGAAAAAAAAAACUCACCUGCAACCCCACAAUCUAAUACAAUAAUCAUACUUUUUUCCCUUUAUUCUCCUUUAUUGUGACCAAGGAUGACUUUGGGCAUUGCUGUGAGGAACUAUUUCGUUUAACACCCUACUACCUGAACAUGAUGCGUACUCAGCCUUUCACCACCCCCCAAGUAGCUACACAUGAUGUGAUAAUAGUAUUGGUGGUGGUUUUAGAGAGUUGGAGAGAAAACUGAAGUUGGAUUUGGGUAAAAGAAAAAAGAGUGGGAAUUAUUUUUUCUCCAUUCUAAAGCCCAUAAAGCAAUGUUAAUUGUUCCCACCCCUCUGCUAUUCUGUCUCCUCAGGUACUGUGUGCAGAAAUGUGAUUGAGAUUCAAGUCAGGGCCUCUCUGCCCUUUUCCCUCCAGAAACAAAACCAAGAUAAUUUAUCCUGAACACGGUGAAAAAAGGAAGGGAGGGAGGAGAAAAAGUCCGGGUCUCACCUGGGAUUCUCUGUCUCCUGCAACAUGAAGGAUUUAGCCUGGGAGGAGGUGGUGAGAACUCUGGGAGAGAAAAAAGAAGGAAAGAAUAGUUUUACCCAUGCUGAAGUUAAUUUAAACCUUCACCUAGAGAAGCAAAAAAAAAAAACCCACACUUUCCCAUUUUGUGCCUCCCUUCCUAGAGUUUUAGCCAAAGGUUUAGCUAAGUAAUUGGUUUUACCAGCGCACUCACUCCUCCUAUCCCAAGUCUGUUUGACUCCCUCCCCAUCAUCCUCCUCACCUCUUUUCAGGCAGGGUGGGGAUAGCAGCAGGAGGAGAUUUUGGGAGCCUGGCAACUCCUGCAAGGACCGCAGGACAGCCCCUCUGUGGGGAUGCGUGGUGCCCCAUCUGCCGCCCUUCUGAAGAAUGCACUGCCUUCACUUUUUACUGUGUUAGAGUCCAUCCAGACUGUUCUAUCCAAAAAAGUUUCUUUUUCCCCCACAGGCAAUCAGGAAAUGAUUCCUUUCCCGACUGCUUCUGUCUAGUGCCUGGGAAUCUUGAGUCAAUCCCUCAGUAAGUCAGUGACUAGGGAAAUCCCUCUCUGAGCCUCCCAGUUCAUGUUGCUUAGGGAACCUGAUAUUUUCGUGAAACCUGCCUACACAUGGGCAGCCCAACAGCAGAACAAAUGGUGGUGACCAAAGUGAACAAAGAAGUAUAGUUGUGCCAGCUUCGUAGUUGCCCAUGUGGACAAGUCAGCAGGAUCAGGACACGAGGAAGAGUAAAUGUGAGACAGUCAAUGUGACUUCUGCGAUAAACAGAUUUUUAAACCCCGAAAUUUUGCAAAAUUUUGGUGAAACCUGAACUUUCUUCGUUGCAUAUACUGGCACUAUCUGUACCAUCAUACAACUGUCUCACAUUAAAGCUAUUUUUCUUGGGCACUGAUGAGUAAGGUUGGUAUAAGUUCCUCAGAUCAACAAAAACCCAUUUUCCUGUAAGUCUUACAUUUAGUAUUUAAGGAACUAAAACUUAAAUACAUUUUGUGAAAUGGUUGACACUUCACUGAUAAUGAUUUAUUGCUUGGAUUAAUAAAUUUUCCAAAAGUUGUCUUAUGUAGAAUAUGGUUUGCAACCAGCAGAACCAUUAAUCUAUACUGCAAUGAUAUGCACUAUGUAUAAUUGUUUAAAAGCCUCUACUUAAUGAUGUAAAAUGCUCUAUUUAAUUACACAUUUGGGUAAACUGUAUACUAACAUCUGAUGGCAUUUUUCCACUGUUUGUUGCUUUUUUCAAAUACUUUAUUGUACAAAGCUGUUCUUAAUAUUUUUCAAGUUUUUUUCUUUGAAUUUUGCUAAUGUUUUCCUUGAAUUAUGAGCACUGACAGAAUGUGCUUAGCACUUUUGGCUAUUCACACAGCUUUUGAGCAUGAUUUGCAUCCAAUAUUUACAUUGCUAGCAAUAAUAAGCCAUCUGUGAGUUUUGUCAAAAGUUAUUGGGGAUUUUUUAAAUUUUAGAAAUGCAAAUUAUUGUUUCUUUGAACUAACUCUUAUGCAGUUGCAAAGGCAUUUCCAGUUGUUAUAGUUUGUGUACAAUAUCAGGUGUUCCAGAUUAUGAUUCAUUAUUAAUAUCAUUGCUUCCUUGUUCCCUCUGAGGUCCAGAAGAUUCAUGUUUACAAUAUUUAGAAACAAUGUUAAAAAGGUAUCCAAAGUUUGUCACUUUAUUAUUAGUUUGUUCUUAAUAUUCUGUUUAAGUUUUUGAAUUCAUAGAUAUCAAAACGCUGCACAAUUAUGAUUUCCACAGGAAUAACAACACACUAACAAUAAGAACCAAAAACAGCAAAUAGGCUGCCUACAAGUUUUGACAAUAUUAGGAUAAUGAUAAUGACAGUUUUUCUAAAUCUCACAGUAAAGAAUGCAGCAACCCAGCAACACUGCUACCUGUGGCCUCAGGCUGCAGUGUCAGCUCUUCCCUGGGUCUCCAGCCUGCCAGUCUAACCUGAAAAUUAUGUACUUGCCAGCCCCCACAGUCACGUGAGUGAACUGGCCCAGGCUGGUCACCAGGGUCAGUUUCUCUGUGUGUCAUUAAUUCAUUCAGUCUUCAGCAGUCUCUUUGGAGCUGAGAUGUACCUACCAUCUGCCUUUUGGGUGCUUAGGGUGGAGAACCAGAAAAGUAUAACCUAGUGUGUAUCCUCAAAGAGCUAACAAUAUGGGGUGGUACCUAUAGGUCUGGAAACACUUUACUGACUCUGUGAGGCAUACCAGGAGACGUCAGAGAACAGUCCCUCCUCAAAUGCCAAAUGAGAUGCAGAAGAAAUAGUUUGCUCAAGUUCAUGGGCCAGAUAUCCCAGUGGUCAGGGAGUUUCAUGAAUGAGAUGGAACUUUGCAUGGAACCCGAGGGAUGUGUAUGAUUUGAGUAGAUGAAGAAAAUGAGACUUUCCAAGCAGCUAGAAGUUAGGGAGCAGCAAGAUGUGUGGUGGGAUUGAGCACAGUUGGUUCAGAGGAUAGACUGCAGUUUUAAUAAUUUGUAGUAAAUAUCUCCCAACUGUUUGGCACUAUUGGAGCAAGUUCUUGAAUGCCAAAUGAAGGCAUAAAUCAGUAAGAGGCAUAAUAAAAGGCUGAGCAGUGCUUGGCUUUUUACGAACUGAUCCUGAUAGGAGCAGCUGUUCAACAAAGUUGCCAGGUCACCGUUACAUAGUCCCUGCCUUCUAGGGGCUCACUGCCUACUGGGAGAGACAGUCUGAAAGUUGGUGGAGCAUGUAACUGUUGGAUGAGGAGUUUGAGCCUGUGGACUGUGGGACCCCCGAGGAGGGUGUGGCUACUCUAGGCAGAACAAUCCCACAGUUUAUUUAUAUUUAACCUUGAAAUUCAUUAGAGGAUUUUUCAGCAGAGGUUUGGUACUUGUUAAUGUUAAGGUUUGCAUUCUCUAGAACCUCAAGGAAAGCUGUACCGUGCAUAAUGUACCCUCUUAUGUUAAUGUUGUGUACUGUGAUCCUGUUUCAGGGACUUGCACUUAGGAAUCUGUUACAGUGAGCACAGAAGCAGACCUGUGGGCUCAUAGUCUUCACCCCCCACCCAUAUAUACAAGAUGAACAGAGUGGAGGUUAAACAACUUGACUAAACAACACAGUUCAUGGUAAAGCCCAAGACUGUACCUGCCCAUCCACUGCCUUUUCCAUGUAUCCUGGAACUGAGCAUAGACCUCUUCCCAGGCAGAGCUGACAGCAAGUAAAGGAGAUCAUAAUCAGGGGACCAAACAACUUUGUCUAAAGUGUGAAUGUCACCUAAGGAGAAGCUGUGAGAUCAGAAGGGUGGGGCAGAGGAGCAGACACCAUGAGGGAGAGUCCUUGGGGGUACAUCUGCCAGACUGACACUGUCUGGCCUGGGCAGUGGAGGGGCUAGCAGGAACCACAGGUACUGGUGGUGUGGCUACUACCGUUACAACUGCCUGUGCUUGGACAUGGACCCUCUGCAAUAUGCGGCAGUUUCAUUCAUUGCCCCCUACAUUCUACACCAAGUAGAAAUGGAAGGCAAUUGGAUACUUCACAGACAAGAUCUAAGUGGAGAAGGAAUGCGUCCUGUGGCUGCAGAGAUCCUUGGAGCUUGGAGGGGAGAGCUUGAGCCCCACUGAUGAUGACCUCCCACAGCUCGCCAACUCAGCCCUCCCUAAGUCCCCAUCGGGGGCCAAUUCUCACUCUGGGGUUGGGGGGACUCCACCAUAGCUCAUCCAUCAUAGGGAUGUUGGUAUCUACUGUGGGUUGGGUAGGGCCGAUGUGCUGAGGAUGGCUCCCCCACAAGCAAGAGAUGUGGAUUUGGGGAGCUUCCCAUCUUGUGUUGAAGGAACAUAACUCAGAAUAAUAAGAGCCAACUAUAACAAACCCACAGCCAACAUCAUACUGAAUGGGCAAAAGCUGCAGGCAUUCCCCUUGAAAAGUGGCACAGGAUAAGGAAGCCCUUUCUCACCACUCCUAUUCAAUAUAGUGUUGAAAGUCCUGAUCACAGCAGUCAGGCAACAGAAAUAAUAAAGGGCAUCCAAAUAGGAAGAGAGGAAGUCAAACUAUCCUUGUUUGCAGACAGUAUGAUUCUAUAUCUAGAAAACCCCAUAGCCUCAGCCCAAAAGGUCCUUCAUCUGAUAAUUUCAGCAAAGUUUCAGGAGACAAAAUCAGUGUACAAAAAUCACUAACAUUCCUAUACACAGUCGCCAAGCCAAGAGCCAAAUCAGGAGCACAAUCCCAUUCAUAAUUGCCACAAAAAAGAAUAAAAUACCCAGGAAUGCAGCUAACCAAGGAAGUAAAGGAUCUCUACAAUGAGAAUCACAAACGCUGCUCAAAGAAAUCAGAGAUGACACAAACAAAUGGAAAAACUUUCCAUGCUCAUGGCUAGGAAGAAUCAAUAUCAUUAAAGUGGCCAUACUACCCAAAGCAAUUUAUAGAUUCAAUGCUAUUCCUAUCAAACUAUCAAUUACAUUUUUCACAGAACUAGAAAAAACUUAAAAUUCAUAUGGAACCAAAAAGCCUGAGUAGUCAAGGCAAUCCUAAACAAAAAGAACAAAGGUGGAGGCAUCACAUUACCUAACUUCAAACUACAGGGCUACCAUGACCAAAACAGCAUGGUACUGGUACAAAAGCAGACACACAGACCAGUGGGACAGAAUAGAGAGCCCAAAAAUAAGGCCACAAACCUACAGCCAUCUGAUCUUCAACAAAGUUGACAAAAACAAGCAAUGGGGAAAGGUCUCCCUAUUCAAUAAAUGGUGCUGGGAUAACUGGCUGGCCAUAUGCAGAAGAUCGUAACUGGACCCCUUUUACUAUGUACAAAAAUUAAGAUGGUUUAAAGAGUUAAAACCCAAAAUUAUAAAAAUCCUGAAGAUAACUUAGGCAAUACCAUUCUGGACAUAGGAACUGGCAAAUAUUUCAUGAUGAAGACACCAAAAGCAAUUGUAACAAAAGCAAAAAUGGACAAAUUGGAUUUAAGAGCUUUUUCAUAGCAAAAUAAACAACAGGGCAGACAAUCUACCAAAUGACAGAAAAUUUUUGCAAACUAUGCAUCUGACAAGGGGCUAAUAUCUAGCAUCUAUAAGGAAUUUAAACACAGUUACAGG